AUAGUACUCCCUCCGUCUCAAAUUUUUUGUCUUAAAUUUGUUUAUGUAUGAAUGUAUCUAAUCAAGUAUUAGUAUUUACAUACAUUCAUUUCUAGACAAAGUUAAAAUAAAAUUUUUGGGAUGAAGGGAGUACUAC
Hordeum vulgare subsp. vulgare (domesticated barley) is the source of this 136-nucleotide non-coding RNA. NCBI's taxonomy places the organism in Eukaryota, Viridiplantae, Streptophyta, Magnoliopsida, Poales, Poaceae. The record is from Rfam.